RNAcentral lists this non-coding RNA (25 nucleotides) under Rattus norvegicus (Norway rat). The record is from RNAcentral. Lineage: Eukaryota; Metazoa; Chordata; Mammalia; Rodentia; Muridae.
UGAGAGAGCUUCACCAGUCUUCCCC